This 253-nucleotide ribosomal RNA is filed under the name uncultured bacterium. Its description in RNAcentral is "partial 16S ribosomal RNA". It matches the Rfam family "Bacterial small subunit ribosomal RNA", at positions 524 to 776 of the family's 1533-position model. The record is from RNAcentral.
UACGUAGGGCGCAAGCGUUGUCCGGAAUUAUUGGGCGUAAAGAGCUCGUAGGCGGUCCGUUGCGUCUGCCGUGAAAACCCGAGGCUUAACCUCGGGCCUGCGGUGGAUACGGGCGGACUAGAGGUAGGUAGGGGAGAAUGGAAUUCCCGGUGUAGCGGUGAAAUGCGCAGAUAUCAGGAGGAACACCGGUGGCGAAGGCGGUUCUCUGGGCCUUACCUGACGCUGAGGAGCGAAAGCGUGGGGAGCAAACAGG